Molecule: ribosomal RNA, 465 nt
Filed under: uncultured bacterium
Lineage: Bacteria
Description: bacterial SSU rRNA
Rfam family: Bacterial small subunit ribosomal RNA
Source: RNAcentral
CCUACGGGCCGCACCAGUGGGGAAUAUUGCACAAUGGGCGCAAGCCUGAUGCAGCCAUGCCGCGUAUAUGAAGAAGGCCUUCGGGUUGUAAAGUACUUUCAGCGGGGAGGAAGGCGAUAAGGUUAAUAACCUUGUCGAUUGACGUUUCCCGCAGAAGAAGCACCGGCUAACUCCGUGCCAGCAGCCGCGGUAAUACGGAGGGUGCAAGCGGUAAUCGGAAUUACUGGGCGUAAAGCACACGCAGGCGGUCUGUCAAGUCGGAUGUGAAAUCCCCGGGCUCAACCUGGGAACUGCAUUCGAAACUGGCAGGCUAGAGUCUCGUAGAGGGGGGUAGAAUUCCAGGUGUAGCGGUGAAAUGCGUAGAGAUCUGGAGGAAUACCGGUGGCGAAGGCGGCCCCCUGGACAAAGACUGACGCUCAGGUGCGAAAGCGUGGGGAGCAAACAGGAUUAGAUACCCUGGUAGUC